Molecule: long non-coding RNA, 257 nt
Organism: Amphimedon queenslandica
Lineage: Eukaryota; Metazoa; Porifera; Demospongiae; Haplosclerida; Niphatidae
Exons: 3
Source: RefSeq, a predicted model, not a curated record
CUGUCUAAACUGUUUCAGUCUUGGUUUCAGUAGUCUUCAGCUCAAAAAGUGGUAUUCCUGUAUGAUAUGAUCUUGUUGAGACUUUAAUAAUGUGCAGUAGAGAACAUUGUCAUGAUUGUGGAGGCAUUUAUGUAACAUUUAUGGUUUUAUGUGGUUGCAUUCUUGGAACUUCAUUCAUGAUAGCUGCAUUAUGUAUUAUUAUGACAUACCGUUUACCUGGUUAAUUUUGUGUGAAAUUAAUAUUUGUGCUGGCUCAA